This 2211-nucleotide ribosomal RNA is filed under the name Escherichia coli. RNAcentral describes it as "partial 23S ribosomal RNA". It matches the Rfam family "Bacterial large subunit ribosomal RNA", at positions 1 to 2228 of the family's 2925-position model. The record is from RNAcentral. Lineage: Bacteria; Pseudomonadati; Pseudomonadota; Gammaproteobacteria; Enterobacterales; Enterobacteriaceae.
GGGUUGUGAGGUUAAGCGACUAAGCGUACACGGUGGAUGCCCUGGCAGUCAGAGGCGAUGAAGGACGUGCUAAUCUGCGAUAAGCGUCGGUAAGGUGAUAUGAACCGUUAUAACCGGCGAUUUCCGAAUGGGGAAACCCAGUGUGUUUCGACACACUAUCAUUAACUGAAUCCAUAGGUUAAUGAGGCGAACCGGGGGAACUGAAACAUCUAAGUACCCCGAGGAAAAGAAAUCAACCGAGAUUCCCCCAGUAGCGGCGAGCGAACGGGGAGCAGCCCAGAGCCUGAAUCAGUAUGUGUGUUAGUGGAAGCGUCUGGAAAGGCGCGCGAUACAGGGUGACAGCCCCGUACACAAAAAUGCACAUGCUGUGAGCUCGAUGAGUAGGGCGGGACACGUGGUAUCCUGUCUGAAUAUGGGGGGACCAUCCUCCAAGGCUAAAUACUCCUGACUGACCGAUAGUGAACCAGUACCGUGAGGGAAAGGCGAAAAGAACCCCGGCGAGGGGAGUGAAAAAGAACCUGAAACCGUGUACGUACAAGCAGUGGGAGCACGCUUAGGCGUGUGACUGCGUACCUUUUGUAUAAUGGGUCAGCGACUUAUAUUCUGUAGCAAGGUUAACCGAAUAGGGGAGCCGAAGGGAAACCGAGUCUUAACUGGGCGUUAAGUUGCAGGGUAUAGACCCGAAACCCGGUGAUCUAGCCAUGGGCAGGUUGAAGGUUGGGUAACACUAACUGGAGGACCGAACCGACUAAUGUUGAAAAAUUAGCGGAUGACUUGUGGCUGGGGGUGAAAGGCCAAUCAAACCGGGAGAUAGCUGGUUCUCCCCGAAAGCUAUUUAGGUAGCGCCUCGUGAAUUCAUCUCCGGGGGUAGAGCACUGUUUCGGCAAGGGGGUCAUCCCGACUUACCAACCCGAUGCAAACUGCGAAUACCGGAGAAUGUUAUCACGGGAGACACACGGCGGGUGCUAACGUCCGUCGUGAAGAGGGAAACAACCCAGACCGCCAGCUAAGGUCCCAAAGUCAUGGUUAAGUGGGAAACGAUGUGGGAAGGCCCAGACAGCCAGGAUGUUGGCUUAGAAGCAGCCAUCAUUUAAAGAAAGCGUAAUAGCUCACUGGUCGAGUCGGCCUGCGCGGAAGAUGUAACGGGGCUAAACCAUGCACCGAAGCUGCGGCAGCGACGCUUAUGCGUUGUUGGGUAGGGGAGCGUUCUGUAAGCCUGCGAAGGUGUGCUGUGAGGCAUGCUGGAGGUAUCAGAAGUGCGAAUGCUGACAUAAGUAACGAUAAAGCGGGUGAAAAGCCCGCUCGCCGGAAGACCAAGGGUUCCUGUCCAACGUUAAUCGGGGCAGGGUGAGUCGACCCCUAAGGCGAGGCCGAAAGGCGUAGUCGAUGGGAAACAGGUUAAUAUUCCUGUACUUGGUGUUACUGCGAAGGGGGGACGGAGAAGGCUAUGUUGGCCGGGCGACGGUUGUCCCGGUUUAAGCGUGUAGGCUGGUUUUCCAGGCAAAUCCGGAAAAUCAAGGCUGAGGCGUGAUGACGAGGCACUACGGUGCUGAAGCAACAAAUGCCCUGCUUCCAGGAAAAGCCUCUAAGCAUCAGGUAACAUCAAAUCGUACCCCAAACCGACACAGGUGGUCAGGUAGAGAAUACCAAGGCGCUUGAGAGAACUCGGGUGAAGGAACUAGGCAAAAUGGUGCCGUAACUUCGGGAGAAGGCACGCUGAUAUGUAGGUGAAGCGACUUGCUCGUGGAGCUGAAAUCAGUCGAAGAUACCAGCUGGCUGCAACUGUUUAUUAAAAACACAGCACUGUGCAAACACGAAAGUGGACGUAUACGGUGUGACGCCUGCCCGGUGCCGGAAGGUUAAUUGAUGGGGUCAGCGCAAGCGAAGCUCUUGAUCGAAGCCCCGGUAAACGGCGGCCGUAACUAUAACGGUCCUAAGGUAGCGAAAUUCCUUGUCGGGUAAGUUCCGACCUGCACGAAUGGCGUAAUGAUGGCCAGGCUGUCUCCACCCGAGACUCAGUGAAAUUGAACUCGCUGUGAAGAUGCAGUGUACCCGCGGCAAGACGGAAAGACCCCGUGAACCUUUACUAUAGCUUGACACUGAACAUUGAGCCUUGAUGUGUAGGAUAGGUGGGAGGCUUUGAAGUGUGGACGCCAGUCUGCAUGGAGCCGACCUUGAAAUACCACCCUUUAAUGUUUGAUGUUCUAACGU